AAUAGAUACCCAGGUAGCCCACCCCGUAAACGUUGGGAACUAGUUGUGGGGACCAUUCCACGGUUUCCGUGACGCAGCUAACGCAUUAAGUUCCCCGCCUGGGGAGUACGGCCGCAAGGCUAAAACUCAAAGGAAUUGACGGGGACCCGCACAAGCGGCGGAGCAUGCGGAUUAAUUCGAUGCAACGCGAAGAACCUUACCAAGGCUUGACAUAUACGAGAACGGGCCAGAAAUGGUCAACUCUUUGGACACUCGUAAACAGGUGGUGCAUGGUUGUCGUCAGCUCGUGUCGUGAGAUGUUGGGUUAAGUCCCGCAACGAGCGCAACCCUCGUUCUAUGUUGCCAGCACGUAAUGGUGGGAACUCAUGGGAUACUGCCGGGGUCAACUCGGAGGAAGGUGGGGAUGACGUCAAAUCAUCAUGCCCCUUAUGUCUUGGGCUUCACGCAUGCUACAAUGGCCGGUACAAAGGGCUGCAAUACCGUAAGGUGGAGCGAAUCCCAAAAAGCCGGUCCCAGUUCGGAUUGAGGUCUGCAACUCGACCUCA
This 545-nucleotide ribosomal RNA is filed under the name uncultured bacterium. RNAcentral's name for it is "bacterial SSU rRNA". It matches the Rfam family "Bacterial small subunit ribosomal RNA", at positions 777 to 1320 of the family's 1533-position model. The record is from RNAcentral.